Gossypium raimondii (Peruvian cotton) is the source of this 3407-nucleotide RNA transcript. It is a transcript of the gene named nuclear poly(A) polymerase 4, with no coding region annotated. Lineage: Eukaryota; Viridiplantae; Streptophyta; Magnoliopsida; Malvales; Malvaceae. The record is from RefSeq and is a predicted model, not a curated record. The transcript has 13 exons.
UUUAGUCAGUCAUCUUAAUCAAAAGGGGAAAAAAAAGAAAAAAAAAAAAGGUAGAAGGAAAACACCCUACCAAACGCUCCCUUACGCCACCGAAACGGCGGAGCCUCCUCUCUUUUUUUCCUCUCAAAUUUCCCCCUCUCUCUCUCGAUCUUUCCUCUCUCUCUCUCUCUCUCUCUCUCUCUGUUCUUCAACAUCGUGUUUAGAUCCGUUCCUCCAUCCUUGAAAGAUUCCGUCUUUGACCCUUCUUCGUUGAAUCUAUCAAACAAAUUAGGGUUCCGAUCUGUUACCUCUUGUGUUCGUUUUUAAAAAAAGAAAAUUUUUUUGCCUCAAAAAUUCAUCUUCAAAAAAAGGAAAAAAAGAAGAGAGAGAGUUUUCGAUUUUCCUUGAUUUUGCUUGAGAUUUAUGUUCUAAUCUGAAAUUCAUUACCUUAGUGAUUUGCUAUAUCGGUUCGAUCUCCAUUACGAUUGCUUGAUUUUGUAUUGGAUUUGGGGUUAAAUCCAAGCUUGCGUUUUUUUUUGAGGGUCUGGUUAGUGGUGAAACCGAUGGAGACUCAGAGCCCGAACGGAUCUUUGCAGAAACAAUCACUGCCUCCGAAGAAUUAUGGAAUCACGAAACCAAUAUCACUCGCGGGGCCUAGUGAGGCUGAUAUUCAGCGGAAUACGGAAUUAGAGAAGUUUCUGAUAGAGUCGGGGCUUUACGAGAGCAAAGAGGAGGCUGCGAAAAGAGAGGAGGUUCUUGGCCAUAUCUCUGAGAUUGUAAAAAGUUGGGUAAAGCAAUUAACUCGUCAAAGAGGCUACACUGAUCAGAUGGUGGAGGAAGCAAAUGCUGUCAUUUUCACUUUUGGAUCAUACCGUUUAGGGGUGCAUGGACCUGGGGCUGACAUAGACACUUUGUGUGUUGGGCCAUCUUAUGUGAACCGAGAGGAAGAUUUCUUCAUCAUUUUGCAUGAUAUUUUGGCUGAGAUGGAAGAAGUCACUGAACUUCAACCGGUUCCAGAUGCUCAUGUCCCAGUAAUGAGGUUCAAGUUCCAAGGGAUAUCUAUUGAUCUUCUUUAUGCAAGUAUAUCUCUUUUGGUCGUUCCAGAUGACCUUGACAUCUCACGUGAAUCUGUGCUGCAUAAUGUUGAUGAGCAAACUGUUCGAAGUCUUAAUGGGUGCAGGGUUGCUGAUCAAAUCCUUAAACUUGUCCCAAAUGUCAAGCACUUCCGCAUGACACUUAGAUGUUUGAAGUUCUGGGCAAAGAGGCGUGGAGUUUAUUCUAAUGUUACUGGAUUCCUAGGAGGUGUAAAUUGGGCUCUUCUAGUUGCUCGUGUGUGCCAACUUUAUCCCAAUGCAGUACCUAGCAUGCUGGUUUCUCGAUUUUUCAGAGUUUAUACUCAAUGGAGGUGGCCAAACCCUGUUAUGUUGUGUUCAAUAGAAGAGGAUGAACUUGGCUUUCCAGUCUGGGAUCCGCGCAAGAAUCCUCGGGACCGUUUCCAUCAUAUGCCAAUAAUUACUCCUGCAUAUCCUUGCAUGAAUUCCAGUUACAAUGUCUCUUUAAGUACACUUCGUGUUAUGAUGGAACAGUUCCAAUUUGGUAAUAGAAUAUGUGAGGAGAUUGAGCUAAACAAAGCUCAAUGGAGUGCUUUGUUUGAGCCUCAUCUUUUCUUUGAGGCAUACAAAAACUAUCUACAAGUUGACAUAGUUUCGGCAGAUGCUGAUGAUUUACUGGCAUGGAAAGGCUGGGUAGAGUCUCGGCUUAGACAGCUAACCUUGAAGAUAGAGCGGGACACAAAUGGAAUGUUGCAGUGUCACCCUUACCCAAACGAGUAUGUUGAUACAUCCAAGCAGUUCCCACAUUGUGCUUUUUUCAUGGGUUUGCAGAGGAAAGAGGGAGUGAGUGGUCUAGAAGGUCAACAAUUUGACAUACGUGGAACAGUUGAUGAGUUCAGACAAGAGAUAAGCAUGUACAUGUACUGGAAACCAGGAAUGGAUAUUUAUGUUUCUCAUGUUCGUAGGAGGCAGCUCCCAGCGUUUGUUUUCCCUGAUGGAUAUAGACGGCCUCGAUCAUUGAGGCAUCCAAGCCAGCAGACUGGAAAAACUUGUGAAGAUGUCACGACGUCCCGCUCAGGCUCUGCGGAAAGACAAAUUAAGAGAAAACGUGAUGAUGAGACAGUUGAUGAAAAAUUGAACAAGCCUGAGAAGCGAGCCUCAAUUAGCCCCCUGAGAAUGGAGUCGGUUUCUCCAGAUAUUAUUACAAGCAAGUCUGUUGGAACAUCUCAUAAUAGCAAUGGUCAAGCAGUUAAAGUAGAGCAUCGAGGAACUGUGGAUCUUGAUAGCUUACGAGGGCAGACUUCUUUAGACAUAGAUGAUUCAUCAGUAGUUAGAAGUGUAGAGUCAGCUGAGCAGAUAGGCUUACCGUUUAGGCAGGAGUUGCUUUCUCCAUGUGAAGUUUCUGAUUUUGAAACAAGAGAAACAUGCAAGGCUGGCUUGAAUCAAGAGAAAACUGCAGAUUCGACAUCAGCUUUCAUCAAUGAUCCUGAAAUUGGAUCUUCUAGGAGAAUUUUGAACUGGAAAGGAGUGGGUGCCGAGGUCGAUCAAGAGGUGGUCAAAGCAUGUAAUCAAACAGCAGCGGUAGAAAUUGCUGAAAGUGUAUUUGGGUCAAGUUCCAAUGCGCAGAACCUCAAUUGCAAGGGUAGUGUCUGCGGAGCUGAUUUGGAUUCACUUCUGGAAAAAGGGCACCUGAAUGCUAGUGCUGUUUUCCAAAACAGCUUGUCUGAAGAAUUAAAGCCAAGUAUCUCAGUUGGAAAGGUUGUAAAUUCACAAGAUGGAGCUAGGUCAGAAACUUUGCAGAAGCCAGUGAUGAGGCAUGUGUUUUUUGGAACUUCAAUUUUCUUUAUGCAAGUUAUGAUCUCUUUCUGCUGUUCUGUUUUUUUUUUUCUUUUUUUUUUGAUUUAUUUAUAGCAGGUUGAGUUUGAAGUCAACGGCAUAAUGUGUUGUAGAUGAGGCGUCGGGAGAAACCUUUGUUGCCCCAAGGAGUAUACCGAGUGUGAGUGGACUUGGCAGCACAUUCGACCCGUGCAGUGGAGAGCUGCGUUGUUUGGCUUAUACUUUUAGGUUUGGUUGUGGUGUUUUGGGUUUUAUUUUAACCUUUGGAGGAGAGCCAAGAAGCUACUAAAGUGCCUCUGGUUCUUUGUAAGACUUUGCCAUCUCUCUUUUUAUAUAUAUAUAUUUGCUACUUGAGUGUUGUCGCAUGCUUCUUGCCUCCCAUUCAAGAAUGAACAACUCUUCAUCAAGUAAAUUGUAAAUCAAACUGGAGUGUUGCCGUGUAACAUUUAGACCUUUUCUUUUUUUUUUUCUUCUUAAUCUUAUGUAAUACUAUGUACACUUGUGAUACAGUUUUUCAGUGCUUUCAAGUCAUUAUCUGUA